Long non-coding RNA from Morone saxatilis (striped sea-bass), 223 nucleotides. RefSeq lists it as uncharacterized. The record is from RefSeq and is a predicted model, not a curated record. NCBI's taxonomy places the organism in Eukaryota, Metazoa, Chordata, Actinopteri, Moronidae. The transcript has 4 exons.
UCCUCCUCCUCCUCUUCUAUCAACAUCUCUCCGUCCGGCUGCUGUCGGCUCAUCGGCGUCGUCAGGAUGGUGGAUAAAGGAACCAGAGUGUUUAAGAAAGCCAGUCCUAAUGGAAAGCUCACCGUCUAUUUGGGGAAGAGAGACUUUGUGGACCACGUGGACCUGGUGGAGCCUGUUGACGGCGUCGUCCUGAUCGACCCGGAGUACCUGAAGGAGAGGAAAG